GUGCUGUCUUCAGUAGCAUAUAUACUAAAAUUAUAACAAUACCCAGAAGAUUAGUAUGGUCCUUGUGCAAGGAUGACACACAAAUGUGUAAAGUAUUCCAUAUUACC
Molecule: small nuclear RNA, 107 nt
Organism: Cercocebus atys (sooty mangabey)
Lineage: Eukaryota; Metazoa; Chordata; Mammalia; Primates; Cercopithecidae
Source: Ensembl